Molecule: ribosomal RNA, 287 nt
Filed under: Candida albicans
Lineage: Eukaryota; Fungi; Ascomycota; Pichiomycetes; Serinales; Debaryomycetaceae
Description: partial 28S ribosomal RNA
Rfam family: Eukaryotic large subunit ribosomal RNA
Source: RNAcentral
CUUUGACCUCAAAUCAGGGUAGGACUACCCGGUGAACUUAAGCAUAUCAAUAAGCGGAGGAAAAGAAACCAACAGGGAUUGCCUCAGUAGCGGCGAGUGAAGCGGCAAAAGCUCAAAUUUGAAAUCUGGCGUCUUUGGCGUCCGAGUUGUAAUUUGAAGAAGGUAUCUUUGGGCCCGGCUCUUGUCUAUGUUCCUUGGAACAGGACGUCACAGAGGGUGAGAAUCCCGUGCGAUGAGAUGACCCGGGUCUGUGUAAAGUUCCUUCGACGAGUCGAGUUGUUUGGAAA